UGAAUCGAUGGAAAAGAGAUGGGUGGAUGGCGAGGACAACAAUCUGAUGGCAAUAAUUUCUUUUUUAAAAUCCUUUUUCAUCCCAUUAAGUGAGUGUGUGUGUGUGUGUGUGUGUGUGUGUGUGUGGUCUGUGCCCUUCAA
Non-coding RNA from Podarcis lilfordi (Lilford's wall lizard), 141 nucleotides. The record is from the annotation of a GenBank genome assembly. Lineage: Eukaryota; Metazoa; Chordata; Lepidosauria; Squamata; Lacertidae.